RNAcentral lists this ribosomal RNA (254 nucleotides) under uncultured bacterium. Its description in RNAcentral is "partial 16S ribosomal RNA". It matches the Rfam family "Bacterial small subunit ribosomal RNA", at positions 524 to 776 of the family's 1533-position model. The record is from RNAcentral.
UACAGAGGGUGCGAGCGUUGUUCGGAAUUAUUGGGCGUAAAGAGCUCGUAGGCGGUUCGGUAAGUCGGGUGUGAAACCUCCAGGCUCAACCUGGAGACGCCACCCGAUACUGCUGUGACUAGAGUCCGGUAGGGGAGCGUGGAAUUCCUGGUGUAGCGGUGAAAUGCGCAGAUAUCAGGAGGAACACCAGCGGCGAAGGCGGCGCUCUGGGCCGGAACUGACGCUGAGGAGCGAAAGCGUGGGGAGCAAACAGG